AUUGAACGCUGGCGGCAGGCCUAACACAUGCAAGUCGAACGGUAACAGGAAGAAGCUUGCUUCUUUGCUGACGAGUGGCGGAAGGGAUAGUACUGUCUGGGAAACUGCCUGAUGGAGGGGGAUAACUACUGGAAACGGUAGCCAAUACCGCAUAACGUCGCAAGACCAAAGAGGGGGACCUUCGGGCCUCUUGCCGUCGGAUGUGUCCAGAUGGGAUUAGCUAGUGGGUGGGGUAAAGGCUCACCUAGGCGACGAUCCCUAGCUGGUCUGAGAGGAUGACCAGCCACACUGGGACUGAGACACGGUCCAGACUCCUACGGGAGGCAGCAGUGGGGAAUAUUGCACAAUGGGCGCAAGCCUGAUGCAGCCAUGCCGCGUGUAUGAAGAAGGCCUUCGGGUUGUAAAGUACUUUCGGCGGGGAGGAAGGGAGUAAAGUUAAUACCUUUGCUCAUUGACGUUACCCGCAGAAGAAGCACCGGCUAACUCCGUG
RNAcentral lists this ribosomal RNA (490 nucleotides) under uncultured bacterium. RNAcentral describes it as "partial 16S ribosomal RNA". It matches the Rfam family "Bacterial small subunit ribosomal RNA", at positions 30 to 507 of the family's 1533-position model. The record is from RNAcentral.